This is a long non-coding RNA of Myotis davidii, 2378 nucleotides long. RefSeq lists it as uncharacterized. The transcript has 6 exons. The record is from RefSeq and is a predicted model, not a curated record. NCBI's taxonomy places the organism in Eukaryota, Metazoa, Chordata, Mammalia, Chiroptera, Vespertilionidae.
GCCCGCUGGGAUCGGACGUUCUAACGCAUUCCGGCCGGUCCACCAGCCCUGGGUGUGCAUUACGAAACCGGGGUCCCCCAGUGACAAGCGGGCUCCCCUGUUUCUGUGAAGCACUUUCGGUGACAGCAGAGGCAAGUCCAAAUGACCAAAGUGAAGGUGGUUAUUGCACUGGCUGGUUCCGACAGUAAAGGCAUUUGAAAGCCUUUUUACGGUGCACGCGAUAGACUUACUCCUGCAUCUGUGGUGCACGGUUAGACCUAGAAACGUGUACCUGCGACGAGCGUGUGUGGAUAUGCACUUCCGAGGACCAGAAUAACUCAAGACUGCAAUUCUGUUCAGACGGAACAUAAAGGUCGACACUCAAACCACCGAGACACAUGGCCGGGAAGGACAAGGUAACUUCUUCCUGCUGGAGUCUGCAGAUGUCAGAGUCGUGUGACAUUUGAACAUGACAGAGAAGCUCAGUGAUCUGGAGCAUAAAUUAACCACAGGGGAAAGUGUUGCAACAGGCCAGUCACCUGCUUCAGGUUGCUGUCUGAGAGAAAGGAAAAACCUGUCUUUGCGGUCAGCCAGUGAACAAGCAAGCCCUUGACCCUGCCUGAGGGCCAACCACCAGCUCCAGUAUCAAAGGGCCAGUAGUCGACAAGGAGAAGAUAUUGGCUAUCCAUAUAACUGUCAGAGGAUUUGUAUCCAGGAUAUGUCAAGGACUACUGGUAUGUAUCCACUUAGAAAAGGCAAACGACUUAAUGAAAGAUGGACAGAAGACUCGAACAGCAGAGGAAACACGAAUGGCCAAUAAGCACAUGAAAAAGAUGUUCAACCUCAUCAGUAACGGGAAAUGCAGGUUCGGAUCGCAGUACCACUAUUUCACACCCGGUAGUGGGUUGGUAAAAUUUAAAAGACUGAUGGUAUCAAGUGUUGGAGAGGUUGUGGGUCACCAGAAUCCUUAAACGUUGCCAGUGGGAGCUGCUGCAUUUGCAACCACUUUGGAAAAACACUUGUCUCGUAAAAUUGAAUAUUUGUGUACCUCACUAGCCAAGGAUCUCUCUCCUAAACACGCACCUGGGGAAAAUACUUCCGCGUGUGGUCAGGAGACAGACAGCAGCCAUGUGCAAUGGCCAUGUUCACAAUAUCCAACUACCCAUUUACCGGGGAAAGAGGAAACGUGUCGGGGUCUCAGGUCUCUGGAAAACGUGGAACAGCUGACCCUCUGCAACCUGGCUCCUGCUCAGAGCUCUGCCAGCGCGUGGAGCCUUCUGGAAGGAGAGGCCUUGCCAGCUCCCUUUGCUGGAAGAGUCUGCAGUUAAUUGAAGGCUCUCCUCUGAGCACACCUGUCUGGAGUCUGGUCGCUCGGCCGCAGGGAGCACCUGCCGGGCGCUCGGGCAUCCUGGGGAUGGAAUGUGCUGGACGUGCAGCAGCAGGUCAUAGCGGGAGCUCUGGCCCAGGACGGAGAGAAAACAGCGAGUGUGAGCUGAGCCUCAGCGACGGCUGCUGGGAGGACAAUGAUCACGACGCAGUGCUGAGAACACACGCCCAGUGUCUGAGGACGACGAUUCUGGAGAGUUCCAGUCACAGAGCUGGUACCAUGAGGUGAACAGAAAACCCAGAAAUGCUCAGCAAGAUCUCAGGACAAAGGGUUUGUACCAAAACUAUGUGAAAGCUACCUCGACCAAGAAGUCCCUGGGCUAAUGUUCACCAGAUGGGCUGCCGCAUGGCCUUCUCUGCAGGACACAUCGGACUCCCGCCCAGAUGGGCAGGACGCUUCCUGAAAAUGGACAGGGUGGGGGCAAGACGGUGUGUUAUUGCCCCUAGAGCCGCCGACACGUAGAAAUAAAGAGAAGAAACAGUUCCUCUUUCUAAACUGUUUUCAGGUUGAAGGACAUUGGAUGGGAAAUCCUGAUCAGAAGGUACAUUUAGCAUCAUCAUUGAUAACUAUUUCCACUCAACAUAUUUUUAAUAUGGGUAACCCCCCAAAUAUAAACUUUUUAAGUGCAGCUAUUGAAUAUGGAACUUUCCUUGCAAAUUAUUUCUUACCAAAAGGACAUGUCAAUCUAGUGAUGGGAGUCUAUUUUAGGGGCUUACUUUCUCUCCCUAGUGGAAUGUGGGGACUCCACAAACAGAUGGAGAAAGCCGGAUCCUGGUUUUACUGUAGCAGGCAGCCAAUUCCUCAGGCUGAGGAGUUUUUAAAUGUUGAAAUGUAUUCUGCAGAAGAAUCUUAGGCGUUAACUACCCAACCUCGUGUUGGCCUGUGAAACUUAAUCUUCAGCAAAGAAAUAAAAGCAACUCUAGCCUUCUAUUUUAUUGAGCUCCUCUGAGAGUAAAAUUAUGCAAUCACAUAAUGGAAGUGGCUUUUUUUUUGUUACAGCUUCUGGCUACCA